RNAcentral lists this ribosomal RNA (253 nucleotides) under uncultured bacterium. RNAcentral describes it as "partial 16S ribosomal RNA". It matches the Rfam family "Bacterial small subunit ribosomal RNA", at positions 524 to 776 of the family's 1533-position model. The record is from RNAcentral.
UACGUAGGGUGCGAGCGUUAAUCGGAAUUACUGGGCGUAAAGCGUGCGCAGGCGGUUCGUUGUGUCCGAUGUGAAAGCCCCGAGCUUAACUUGGGAAUGGCAUUGGAAACUGGCGAGCUGGAGUGUGGCAGAGGGGGGUGGAAUUCCACGUGUAGCAGUGAAAUGCGUAGAUAUGUGGAGGAACACCGAUGGCGAAGGCAGCCCCCUGGGUUAACACUGACGCUCAUGCACGAAAGCGUGGGGAGCAAACAGG